GGUAGGGCAGGCUUAGAAAAGGGAGAAUCUGCUGCCAGAGAGGCCAGAUGCCAUGAGUCCAAAGGAAUCAUCCCGCCCCCAGCAGACAAGCGUGGAGCCAGCCUGCUCCUCUGGCCAAAGCAUUCCACCCCCGGACCUCUCCUCCAGGUACUUCCUGUCCAGACGGGCAGUGGCCCCAGAGCCUGGGAAACCUGCCCCACAGGUGAGGGCAAGGGGUGUGUCUGAAGUGGGUGAGAGGCUGGUAUGAGCCUUGGUUGCUGCUCUGGAAACAGGAAGAAGAGAUGUGGAAGAAGAGAUGUGGGUAUGGUGGAUUCUGACCCUUGGCUCCCCAAAGUUCCACAGAGCCCAGCUCCCACUGAAGGCAUAUGACCCAGAUCCUGAGAACCAGAUGCACCGGCCUGAGCUUUCGUCAGAAGCAAGGACACACAGAACCUUUCUUAGAGGCAUCAUUAGAGGACCGGACAUGGUGGCCAGAGGCUGCAGGGACAGAAGUCCCAGGGCCAUGUCCAGGAACUGGGCUCAGGGGACCUCCUGGUGCCACCUGCAUAUCUGAGCCCAUGGAGUUCCUCUGGUCUAUUCAGUUCUCUCAUUUUAACUUAAUUUUGUUUUUGUAGGCUUUCUUAAAAAAUUGCCCAGUUCAUUUACCUGAUCACGUUUAUUGUUCAGAGUGCCAUUGACCUUUAGAUGGGCUGUACGGUGUGGGGUUCGGUGCCAUGGAUCUGCUUCUCCAGGGACCAGGAUCUUGAGAUCUUCAGGCUGGGUUUCCAUGGAGGCAUGGAGCUGCUUUUCCUCCUUCAUAACUGCACUCAAAACAGCCCUGUUGCUCUAGAAUGGAGACUUGGGCAACUCCUUCUGGCACAGAUUUGUUCACCUCAGGUGAAAUUCAGAUAGAAGCAAGCUGCAGGCAGUUUCACCUCUAAGUCCAUGGGUUCUCAACUGGUAACGUCCUCUUAUGGAUGUUAGCCCAUGAGGUCAAUCCUGUAGCAAUCUAAGGCUUGAGAAAAAUUAAUCUUCUGGAAAAUUCCAAGAAUACAUCUUAGGGAAACUGGCUCUACCUUUAUGACUUGGAUCACACAAGGAUAUGCUUUUCAUCUUGGACUAGAACUGAGAGCCAAUGGAUGUGUUAUCUAAAACUAUCCCAGUGUGUUCACUAUACAGAGGAAGAUUCUGAGAUUCAAGACUCAAGACUGAAGAAGAUCAUUAUUUUUAUUAUUUUAGUCUUAUGCACAAAAUGAUAUCUACUGAAUAAGCAGGUUUUUAAUAGGUGACUUAUAUAUGUUAGCAAAAAUAAACACUUUGUCUUUUAGAUCUAUUCUAGUUUUUCAGUAGCUGUAGACUUAAGUGCUAACUUUUAGCCCAUAGGAUAAGAAGAAACCAAGUCCUAAAAGUAGGCCAGCACCAGGGUUCAGGCCUCUGACUUCAAGCCAAGGGCUCAUCAUCUUGAAUUGCGCACGAAUUUUUACACAGCGCCAAAGGAAACUGCCUGUACUUACUGUUGUAGGUGCUUUGCUGGAUUCAGGAUGCAGACAAGGUCCACGCAUUGUGGUUGGAACAAUGACUAGAUCUUUACCUGGUCCACAGCCCUCCCCAGUCUGGCUGCAACCUCUCAUGAGGCUGAGCUCACCAUGAACCCCUGCUCUAGGCGUCUGCAUAGUGUUCUGUUUGUCCCCGUGACUGUCCACCUCUUCUUUGGCCUGUUGGCAUGCGCUUAUCCUCCAGACCUCAGUCCAAAGUUCAGUCCCGGAGCAGACACAACCCUGUUUGCAGAGAGCCAACAUUCUAAUUGACAGUGCGUGGUGGGAAACAGUGAACCGAGGGAAAGAGUGCCAGUGUUAGAGAGCCACAGUGCAGUGAAGAAGAGAAGGCAAGAGGAUGUGAUGCAAAAUCACAGGACCUGGCUUCCAGACCAUUCUGCUUCCAUGAGAACAUUUCAGUUGAGAACCGGAUGGCAUGAAAAAAAGCAAUACAGUGGAAAGAGUAUGGGAUUUGGUGUCUUUCAGACAGGAUUCCACUUGCAAGCCGUGUGAUAUGGGGCAGCUCACCAGAUCCUGGACCUCCAUAAACCCCUCUGCAACGUGGAGAGAAUCAGAUUUCCCCACAGACUCCAUGAAGGGCUCCAGAGUGCCCUCCCCCGUUAGCCACUGAUGCAUUCAUGAGGAAGAGAAAGAGUUAAAUGCUCCUUUCGAGGAAGCGGUGGUGGCCG
Molecule: long non-coding RNA, 2203 nt
Filed under: Homo sapiens (human)
Lineage: Eukaryota; Metazoa; Chordata; Mammalia; Primates; Hominidae
Description: long intergenic non-protein coding RNA 840
Source: RNAcentral